UAAGACAAGUAGAAGCACCCGCUUCUCACCUGAUUGACACCGAUUAUGGUAGUUGACUGGUUCCAACCUUUUAUUUAAAUGUAUUUGGAGAUGUGUGGGUGCGUGUAUGUACCGACACUUUUUUAAUUGC
This is a regulatory RNA element of Oceanobacillus iheyensis HTE831, 130 nucleotides long. It matches the Rfam family "Ribosomal protein L20 leader". From Rfam's summary of the family: This family is a putative r-protein leader autoregulatory structure found in B. subtilis and other low-GC Gram-positive bacteria. It is located in the 5' untranslated regions of mRNAs encoding initiation factor 3 followed by ribosomal proteins L35 and L20 (infC-rpmI-rplT). The record is from Rfam. NCBI's taxonomy places the organism in Bacteria, Bacillati, Bacillota, Bacilli, Caryophanales, Bacillaceae.